GACUCCUACGGGAGGCAGCAGUGGGGAAUAUUGGACAAUGGGCGCAAGCCUGAUCCAGCAAUGCCGCGUGUGUGAAGAAGGCCUUCGGGUUGUAAAGCACUUUUAUCAGGAGCGAAAUGCCAUGGGCUAAUACCCCGUGGAGCUGACGGUACCUGAGGAAUAAGCACCGGCUAACUUCGUGCCAGCAGCCGCGGUAAUACGAAGGGUGCAAGCGUUAAUCGGAAUUACUGGGCGUAAAGGGUGCGUAGGCGGUUAUUUAAGUCUGCCGUGAAAUCCCCGGGCUCAACCUGGGAAUGGCGGUGGAUACUGGAUAGCUAGAGUGUGUCAGAGGAUGGUGGAAUUCCCGGUGUAGCGGUGAAAUGCGUAGAGAUCGGGAGGAACAUCAGUGGCGAAGGCGGCCAUCUGGGACAACACUGACGCUGAAGCACGAAAGCGUGGGGAGCAAACAGGAUUAGAUACCCUGGUAGUCCACGCCCUAAACGAUGCGAACUGGAUGUUGGUCUCAACUCGGAGAUCAGUGUCGAAGCAAACGCGUUAAGUUCGCCGCCUGGGGAGUACGGUCGCAAGACUGAAACUCAAAUGAAUUGACGGGG
RNAcentral lists this ribosomal RNA (593 nucleotides) under uncultured Rhodanobacter sp. Its description in RNAcentral is "bacterial SSU rRNA". It matches the Rfam family "Bacterial small subunit ribosomal RNA", at positions 334 to 918 of the family's 1533-position model. Lineage: Bacteria; Pseudomonadati; Pseudomonadota; Gammaproteobacteria; Lysobacterales; Rhodanobacteraceae. The record is from RNAcentral.